Molecule: small nucleolar RNA, 92 nt
Filed under: Theobroma cacao (cacao)
Lineage: Eukaryota; Viridiplantae; Streptophyta; Magnoliopsida; Malvales; Malvaceae
Description: Small nucleolar RNA R24
Rfam family: Small nucleolar RNA R24
About the family: snoR24 is a C/D box small nucleolar RNA which acts as a methylation guide for 18S ribosomal RNA in plants.
Source: Rfam by way of RNAcentral
GAAGCGGUGAUGAGAAGCUAACAUAUAAGAAGACCUAUCUUAUAGUGGGUUCUUCAGUGAAAUAUACUUGUUACGCUUGGCUUCUGAGCUUC